AUGCCGUUACUUAAUUAUUUACCAAUCAUUGCCAUUGGGUUAACAUCGUUCGCCGACCACGUCGCUCCCCUCUCGCAACCAGCAGUUUCGCUCCCCUCUCGCAACCAGCAGCCGUCCGCCACGCCCUUCCCGGCCUUCGCCGCCGCCGCCCUUCUCGGCCGCCGCCUGCCGCUCGCCCACGCCCUUUCUCGGCCGCCGCCCCACGCCGCCCGCCGCUCGCCCACGCCCUUCACGCCCCGCCGCCCAGGCCCUUCUCGGCCUCGCCGGCGGGGCGGCCCUUCACGCCUCGCCGUCCCCCCUUCACGCCGGCGGGCCACGCCCCCGACGGCCGAGCGGCCGAGCGGCACCUCCGGCGCAGGGGGGCCGGGCCGCAGCAGCACGCCCACUGCCGGCGCUCCCCUGGUCAAUACAAGAUUCAGUGCCGGCGCAGCAGUACAAGAUUCGCAGUACUCCGAAGAUGGACAAUAA
This 468-nucleotide ribosomal RNA is filed under the name Triticum aestivum (bread wheat). RNAcentral describes it as "partial small subunit ribosomal RNA". The record is from RNAcentral. Lineage: Eukaryota; Viridiplantae; Streptophyta; Magnoliopsida; Poales; Poaceae.